AAUAACCAAACCCAUUUAUAGUUAUUGUUAAAAAGAGUUAUACCCUGAUGUCUCUUGGUAAUAGUUAGGCCUUGGAAUCCCGUAAUUACUAUGCUGUUAUAUUUCCCAACUUCCUGCCCCAACACUGACUUCUGGGGUCCAAUAACCAAACCCAUUUAUUGUUAUUGUUAAGAGAGUUAUACCCUGAUGUCUCUUGGUAAUAGUUAGGCCUUGGAAUCCAGUAAUUACUAUGCUGUCAUAUUUCCCAACUUCCUGCCCCAACACUGUCUGCUGGGCUUCAAUAACCAAACCCAUUUAUUGUUAUUGUUAAGAGAGUUAUACCCUGAUGUCUCUUGGCAAUAGUUAGGCCUUGGAAUCCAGUAAUUACUAUGCUGUUAUAUUUCCCAACUUCCUGCCCCAACACUGUCUUCUGGGGUCCAAUAACCAAACUCAUUUAUAGUUAUCAUUAAAAGAGUUUGAUCCUGAUGUCUCUUGGCUUGGUUUUGGGGUGGAAAUAGGGUUUGGAAAUGGGGUAUUGGGGUGGUUUUGGGGGUGGGAAAUGGGGAACAGGUUUGGGAAAUGUUUUGGGGGGUCGGGGAAAGGGUUUUGAAAUGGGGAAAUGGGUUUGGGAAGUUUGUUAGGCCUCAGAAUCCGGUAAACACUAUGCUCUUAUAUUUCCCAACUUCCUGCCCCCAAACUGUCUUCUGGGAUCCAAUAACAUACCAUUAAAAGUUACCAUUAAAAGAGUUAUUAUACCUUGAUGUUUCUCGGCAAUACUCGGGCUUUGGAAACAGGUCAAUACUAUGCUCUUAUAUUUCCCAUCUUCCUGCCCCCAAACUGUCUUCUGGGGUCCAAUAACAAAACUCAUUUAUAGUUACCAUUAAAAGAGCUAUACCCUGAUGUUUCUCGGCAAUACUCGGGCUUUGGAAACAGGUCAAUACUAUGCUCAAAGUACGACAACCUGGCAGGGGUGUGGUGGGGCAGUAGUAGGAGUUUUAAACGAUACAAAAAGUUCCGCAGUAAUGAUAUAUCCGUUACACCUCCUGGGGCUCCGAUCGCCACUGGAAUAAGGGGAUGAGGACACAUUAUCAAACACCAGCUUGUAUAUAAACAUGCAAUGGGCUAAAUGUAAAUAAAAAUAGAUGGAAUACAUAUACAAUAAAUGGUACAAGUGUAGAAUGACUGGGUGUAUCCACAGAAAUGGGGGGGGGAUGGGGGGGACAUGGGUGUUUUUGAAAAGGGUCGGGAAAUUGAUUUUGAGGGGUCGGGAAAUAGGGGAACGGGGUGGGACAUGUUUUGGGGGGUGGAAACAGGGUUGGGAAAUGGGGCUUUGGGGUGGAAAUGGGGUUGGGAAAUGGGGAACAGGUUUGGGCAAUGUUUUUGGGGGUUGGGGAAAGGGUUUUGAAAUGGGGAAAUGGGGUGGGAAAUGGGGGUGUUUUUGGGUUGGAAAGGAUCGGGAAAUGGUGUUUUGAAUUGGGAAAUCAGUCAGGAAAUGGGGUUGGGAAAUGGAUGUUUUUGGGGUUGGCUGUGAAAACUGUCCGCUAGGCUUCGAGCUGAGAGACCGAACGGCCGAGUUUUGUUACGUCGAUCGAAGGCGCUGUGUGUGUGUGUGUGUGUGUGUGUGUGUGUGUGUGUGUGUGUGUGUGUGUGUGUUCCUGUUUUCUUCCUCUCUCUCUCUCUUCCUUUCUUUCUUCCUCUUCCUCCUCCUC
Eriocheir sinensis (Chinese mitten crab) is the source of this 1688-nucleotide long non-coding RNA. RefSeq lists it as uncharacterized. The record is from RefSeq and is a predicted model, not a curated record. The transcript has 2 exons. NCBI's taxonomy places the organism in Eukaryota, Metazoa, Arthropoda, Malacostraca, Decapoda, Varunidae.